RNAcentral lists this ribosomal RNA (194 nucleotides) under uncultured Pseudomonadales bacterium. Its description in RNAcentral is "partial 16S ribosomal RNA". It matches the Rfam family "Bacterial small subunit ribosomal RNA", at positions 138 to 334 of the family's 1533-position model. Lineage: Bacteria; Pseudomonadati; Pseudomonadota; Gammaproteobacteria; Pseudomonadales. The record is from RNAcentral.
GGGGGAUAACGUCCGGAAACGGGCGCUAAUACCGCAUACGUCCUGAGGGAGAAAGUGGGGGAUCUUCGGACCUCACGCUAUCAGAUGAGCCUAGGUCGGAUUAGCUAGUUGGUGGGGUAAAGGCCUACCAAGGCGACGAUCCGUAACUGGUCUGAGAGGAUGAUCAGUCACACUGGAACUGGGACACGGUCCAG